This 239-nucleotide ribosomal RNA is filed under the name uncultured bacterium. RNAcentral's name for it is "partial 16S ribosomal RNA". It matches the Rfam family "Bacterial small subunit ribosomal RNA", at positions 524 to 762 of the family's 1533-position model. The record is from RNAcentral.
UACGAAGGGGGCUAGCGUUGUUCGGAAUUACUGGGCGUAAAGCGCACGUAGGCGGAUACUUAAGUCAGGGGUGAAAUCCCGGGGCUCAACCCCGGAACUGCCUUUGAUACUGGGUAUCUGGAGUCCGGAAGAGGUGAGUGGAAUUCCGAGUGUAGAGGUGAAAUUCGUAGAUAUUCGGAGGAACACCAGUGGCGAAGGCGGCUCACUGGUCCGGUACUGACGCUGAGGUGCGAAAGCGU